Molecule: long non-coding RNA, 894 nt
Organism: Hyla sarda
Lineage: Eukaryota; Metazoa; Chordata; Amphibia; Anura; Hylidae
Exons: 3
Source: RefSeq, a predicted model, not a curated record
CCGGAAUACUCACAAAAGGCAGUCAGCGGCUGAGGAAAAUCCCCCGCUCAUGGUGGCCGAGAGAGGACAAUUCAACACAACGAGUUCUCCGCUCUGCCGCUAGAGGCCGCUGUAGCGGGGAUUCUUCCCGUUGUCUUGUACAACAUCUUCAAACUGGUAUAGAGAACAUAACUGAAGACGACUUUAAAAAGAACUCGGCAAUUGAAUUGGUGGAAGAAACCCCAAAAAAUCGAGAAGAGAAUAUAGCUAAAUUAAAAACAUCGAUUUUGCAAACAAAGCUGAUUUAAUUUGAAAGAAACACCCAGGAUUACCAGCUGGAUCGAGUCUACACCUGGGCAGAGGAGAGACAAAGUUUUCGUCAAAAAGAGUGGAAUAUUAAUAGAUUGUCCUCAGGUGAAAGUAUCUCCUCAGGGAGUGAACAAAGCCUAACAGAAAGGCGUCAAAAAAGUCUAAAAAGCCACAAAGAUUUUUUAGGAGCAAGACCGAAAGAAAGGAACCUUACAAGAAAGAAAGAUCAAGGGGGAAACAAAGGAGAAAUAAAGACGAGAAGUGCAAAGAAACUACAGGAAACCAAGGAGAAUUGAGUUCACGCGAGAUGUGAAUUACUAUGUAAAUGGUGAUGGGUGCACGAUAGGGUCACUUGAGAAAGGGGGCGUGUUCUCCGAAACAUCGCAAGUGUCCGGCAACCUCACACUUGUCUACCCCUUCGUGAGAGGAAGGAAGGUCAGCUCCGUUAUGCCCGUGGAAGGGUGAAAAUUCAUUCAGUCAGCUGAACCACGACUGUCGGACGUACUCAGUGAGCACUUUUGGGUGAAAAACUUUUGUAUCUAUUUAAUUAUAUGAAGUUAAUGGUCUAUUGAUCGACUUUUGUACUAUGAAAAUUGAACACUAAAG